CAAUAAGAAACAAAUAAUUGUAAUCAGUUUCGACCUGAUGUUUGAUAUAUAAAUAUCCUUAUUUA
RNAcentral lists this transfer RNA (65 nucleotides) under Metallyticus sp. RNAcentral's name for it is "tRNA-Arg". The record is from RNAcentral. Lineage: Eukaryota; Metazoa; Arthropoda; Insecta; Mantodea; Metallyticidae.